CUGGGGCAGGCCCAAAGCUGGGAGCAGGCUUCUGAGGGUCACUGGAGGAGCAUCUGCUGAGGCCAUGGUUUGGGGAGUGCUGAUCAUCAACUGGCAUUUUGUCAACCACGUCCACCACAUUGUGUCCCGACAUGCCGGAGGAGGGUGAGUGAGAGCUAAGUAACCACACAGCUGCCUGGCGAGGAGCAAGGGGUCACUGUGGGAAACAAGGGAAGGGAAGAAGUAAUAGGGGCUGGCAGGUGGAAGAGAGAGGAGAACCUGUGACUGUCUUUGAUGCUUGCAAAAAGAACUCAAUUUUCCUGAUAUUUAAUGCUUCUCAGGUUAGCACAAUUUAUGAACAGAUUCCUGUUACUUGUUGUUGUAAAAUUACUAUAAGUGUCUGAACAUAAUCCUGUUGUGGAACUGUAUGAACUGUCAAUGAAUUGAACUCCAGAAGGCUGGAAAGUCCAUGAAAGACCCUCAAGAAAUUCAGUGACAUUCAAUAGACUUUGUCUUAUACAAGGUAUUCUAUACUAUAGUAAUGCAUCA
RNAcentral lists this long non-coding RNA (528 nucleotides) under Anas platyrhynchos platyrhynchos (common mallard). RNAcentral's name for it is "lncRNA (ENSAPLG00000029317.1)". Lineage: Eukaryota; Metazoa; Chordata; Aves; Anseriformes; Anatidae. The record is from RNAcentral.